This 448-nucleotide ribosomal RNA is filed under the name uncultured bacterium. RNAcentral describes it as "SSU rRNA". It matches the Rfam family "Bacterial small subunit ribosomal RNA", at positions 26 to 518 of the family's 1533-position model. The record is from RNAcentral.
AGAGCGAACGCUGGCGGCAGGCUUAACACAUGCAAGUCGAGCGGGCGUAGCAAUACGUCAGCGGCAGACGGGUGAGUAACGCGUGGGAACGUACCUUUUGGUUCGGAACAACACAGGGAAACUUGUGCUAAUACCGGAUAAGCCCUUACGGGGAAAGAUUUAUCGCCGAAAGAUCGGCCCGCGUCUGAUUAGCUAGUUGGUGAGGUAACGGCUCACCAAGGCGACGAUCAGUAGCUGGUCUGAGAGGAUGAUCAGCCACAUUGGGACUGAGACACGGCCCAAACUCCUACGGGAGGCAGCAGUGGGGAAUAUUGGACAAUGGGCGCAAGCCUGAUCCAGCCAUGCCGCGUGAGUGAUGAAGGCCCUAGGGUUGUAAAGCUCUUUUGUGCGGGAAGAUAAUGACGGUACCGCAAGAAUAAGCCCCGGCUAACUUCGUGCCAGCAGCCGC